AUGAAACAAGAUGAUUACAGAGUG
Molecule: non-coding RNA, 24 nt
Filed under: Arabidopsis thaliana (thale cress)
Lineage: Eukaryota; Viridiplantae; Streptophyta; Magnoliopsida; Brassicales; Brassicaceae
Source: RNAcentral